GGGGGCUCCGGGUGGACACUUCAAACUCUUGCGUAACUUUGCAGUCUGAGUAAACUUAAUUAAUAAAUUAAAACUUUUAACAACGGAUCUCUUGGUUCUGGCAUCGAUGAAGAACGCAGCGAAAUGCGAUAAGUAAUGUGAAUUGCAGAAUUCAGUGAAUCAUCGAAUCUUUGAACGCACAUUGCGCCCCCUGGUAUUCCGGGGGGCAUGCCUGUUCGAGCGUCAUUUCACCACUCAAGCCUCGCUUGGUAUUGGGCAACGCGGUCCGCCGCGUGCCUCAAAUCGACCGGCUGGGUCUUCUGUCCCCUAAGCGUUGUGGAAACUAUUCGCUAAAGGGUGCUCGGGAGGCUACGCCGUAAAACAACCCCAUUUCUAAGGUUGACCUCGGAUCAGGUAGGGAUACCCGCUGAACUUAAGCAUA
RNAcentral lists this ribosomal RNA (421 nucleotides) under Cladosporium cladosporioides. RNAcentral's name for it is "eukaryotic LSU rRNA". The stretch from base 72 to 225 matches the Rfam family "5.8S ribosomal RNA". The record is from RNAcentral. Lineage: Eukaryota; Fungi; Ascomycota; Dothideomycetes; Cladosporiales; Cladosporiaceae.